This is a long non-coding RNA of Condylostylus longicornis, 2105 nucleotides long. RefSeq lists it as uncharacterized. The record is from RefSeq and is a predicted model, not a curated record. Lineage: Eukaryota; Metazoa; Arthropoda; Insecta; Diptera; Dolichopodidae. The transcript is spliced from 6 exons.
AUUCAUUUUAAAAAAAAAAUAAUUUAGUUCUAACAGUAUAUUAAAUAUUUAAAAAAAAUUGAAUUUUAAGUUGCAUAUUUAGAGUUAUUAAAAAAAGUGUAGAUUUAAUGUGAAAAUAUUAAAAAUUUGUGUAUAAAUUAAAAAGAUUCAUAAGAAAAUCUCAAAAUUACACUCACUAAAUAAAAUUCUUUUUAUAAAUAUCAUUUUAAAUAAAUAUUUUUAUUAAAAACUAAAAAAAAAACAAUUUUUCCAAAAUCAAUACAAAAGAGAAACAGAUCUCUAGUCAUAUUGUGUCCUCCUUCUCUUCUUGUCAAAUCAAAUCAAAAAAUAUAAGAAUUAUUCAAAUGUUAUAACAUAGUUAUGAACAAAUCUAUAAAAACUGAAAUCAAUUUAAAUAAAUAUAUAUAUAUAUAAAAACAAAAAAAAAAAACAAUAAAAUAAAGUAGAUCUGGAAAAUUCAACAUAACUAUAUUGUUAGCAUCAUCCGCCAUCGUAAUAAUUUUAAAUUACACCAGUAUCACUACUGCUACUAAGCGACAUCUUUACACCAUCUGUUGACCAAACAAAAUAUCAUCAAUUUUCUUUUAUAUUUGGAUAAAAAAAAAUUAAUAAAAAACGAAUUUAAGCUGCAAAAAAAUUUAAUAAUAUAUAGAUGAAAUUCACAACUAUAAAAAAGAAAGAGAUUAUAUUAAUUAAACUAAAUUAAAAAACAAUUUUAACGCAAAAAAAAAAAAGGAAAAUCGUUUUUUGUCCUUGUCACUUAGUUAUUUUAAUAUUAAUAUUGUAUAUUUAAUAAAAAUUCUAUACAAAAAGUGCUAAUAAUUUUUAAAAAGCUUAUAUAAGUGUUCAUUGAUAAUAAAAAUUAUAACGUACAUAAAAAAAUAAUUUAAAUAAAAAAAGUAAGAAUAUAAAGUAAAAUUUCUAAUAAAGAGGUUUGCAAAUGAAGAAAGCAAAAAAUACCGUAAACAAAGAGAAUACGUAAAUAAAUAAAACAAUUUUCACUGAAUAAAGUCGAAUAAAGAAAGAAUAAGCGAAAAAAAACUAAAUUGAAAGAAUAUACAAUAAAAGAAAGAGAAGAAAAUAAUAAAGGAAACUCUAUUUAUGAAGGAAGAUGAAAAAUUUAACAACAGAAUAAAGAAUAAAAAUAAUAAUAAUAAAAAUAUUAAAAGAAGAAAAGGAAAAUUUAAUAAAGAAAAAAUAAUAAAAAUAAUAAAAGUUACAUAAAAUAUUAAUAAAAAUAAAAGAGAAAAUAGAAAAUUCAUAAAGAAGAAAGAAGAUAGAAAAAAACGCAAAGAAGCAACACAAAAAAAAGAAAGGAAAAGCAAAAAAUAAAAGUUACAAAUAAAAAACAAUUUUUUUUUUUCAUUGCAAAAAAAUUUCCCGUCUUUUACCAUUGGAAAAACAAAAAAAAAUUUUUGUUUUUGUUUUUUUUUUCUCGGAAAAUUUGCUUUUCUUUUUGAUUUUGUUUUUUGCCUUACUUCGAUUGUUGCUAUUAUAGAGAACACAUGUGUUCUUUUUAAUUUCGGUUUACAAGUUUUGCUUGAGUUCUGUGUUGUUAUAAGCUAAAAUCUUUAAAGAACAUCUUGUUGUAUAACAAAAACAACAAAAUAAUUGCAGCUUUUGAAAUAACAUUUUGAAAUCAAAUUGUAUUGCAGUAUUUUAUAUGAAAGGAAAAUAUGAUAAAUGUAGCGGCCAUGAUGUCCUGCCCCAUUCCUUUACCAUUGCCUAGACUUCCAUCAACAUUACAUGGUGAUUUUCCACCAGUUCACAUAGGAGUUAAGGUAAGCCUAAACGAUUAAAAGUAAUACAACAUAAAUUUAUAUGGUCGAAUGGCAAAAAAAGAAAAAGAAGAUCGUCCUCUUGAUUUAAAAUUAUUCAACGCCUAAUUUUAUAAGAGCUAACAAGACAUCAAAAAACUAGACAGCAGUCGUUCAUUUGGAAUAAUAAUCUUUGGCAUAUUGCCAAAAAUUAUAUAUAUGUACGUUAUUAAUAUUUUUAUAUAUUACUAUAAAAAAUUAUUCGAUUUACAAUUUAAAUUAUUCUCUAUUUAUCUGCCUUCAUCUGCACUUUCUUAUUUCAUUUUUCUCAGUAUACGCUCAUAUUGU